Molecule: ribosomal RNA, 487 nt
Filed under: Starmerella bacillaris
Lineage: Eukaryota; Fungi; Ascomycota; Dipodascomycetes; Dipodascales; Trichomonascaceae
Description: eukaryotic LSU rRNA
Rfam family: Eukaryotic large subunit ribosomal RNA
Source: RNAcentral
UGCCUAGUACGGCGAGUGAACAGGCAAGAGCUCAGAUUUGAAAGGCACUUUUGUGCCGUUGUAUUCUGAAGUUAGGGUCCUGAGAAACGAUGCUUAAGUCUUCUGGAAAGGAGCGCCAUGGAGGGUGAUAGCCCCGUCUAGCAUUGACCUCAUAUAGGAUCUUAACAUGGAGUCGAGUUGUUUGGGAAUGCAGCUCAAAUGGGUGGUAUGCUCCAUCUAAAGCUAAAUAUCUGCGAGAGACCGAUAGUAAACAAGUACUGUGAGGGAAAGAUGAAAAGAACUUUGAAAAGAGAGUGAAAAAGUACGUGAAAUUGUUGAAAUGGAAGGGUAGGCCGCUAACCAUGUAGAGCCGUGUUUGGGGGGAAGAUAAAUGCUGUAGAAUGUAGCUCCUCGGAGUAUUAUAGAUGCAGUUCAUAUUCCCACCCGAGCGCGAGGAUCUCAGGUUCUACUAAAUGGUGGUCUACCACCCGUCUUGAAACACGGACCA